Molecule: ribosomal RNA, 1469 nt
Filed under: uncultured Bordetella sp.
Lineage: Bacteria; Pseudomonadati; Pseudomonadota; Betaproteobacteria; Burkholderiales; Alcaligenaceae
Description: partial 16S-23S ribosomal RNA intergenic spacer
Rfam family: Bacterial small subunit ribosomal RNA
Source: RNAcentral
GGGUUUAUUCAUGGCUCAGAUUGAACGCUGGCGGAUGUUUUACACAUGCAAGUCGAACGGCAGCACGGACUUCGGUCUGGUGGCGAGUGGCGAACGGGUGAGUAAUGUAUCGGAACGUGCCUAGUAGCGGGGAUAACUACGCGAAAGCGUAGCUAAUACCGCAGCGCCGCUCGGGGGAAAGCGGGGACCCUUCGGGCCUCGCACUAUUAGAGUGCCGAUAUCGGAUUAGCUAGUUGGUGGGGUAGCGGCUCACCAAGGCGACGAUCCGUAGCUGGUUUGAGAGGACGACCAGCCACACUGGGACUGAGACACGGCCCAGACUCCUACGGGAGGCAGCAGUGAAAUUUUGGGCAAUGGGGGAACCCUGAUCCAGCCAUCCCGCGUGUGCGAUGAAGGCCUUCGUUGUAAAGCACUUUUGGCAGGAAAGCGAAACGGCACGUGGAUAUCACCCCGCAACUGACGGUACCUGCAGAAUAAGCACCGGCUAACUACGUGCCAGCAGCCGCGGUACGUAGGGUGCAAGCGUUAAUCGGAAUUACUGGGCGUGCGCUGCGCGCAGGCGGUUCGGAAAGAAAGAUGUGAAAUCCUAGAGCUUAACUUUGAACUGCAUUUUCAACUACCGAGCUAGAGUGGGUCAGAGGGAGGUGGAAUUCGCGUGUAGCAGUGAAAUGCGUAGAUAUGCGGAGGAACACCGAUGGCGAAGGCAGCCUCCUGGGAUAACACUGACGCUCAUGCACGAAAGCGUGGGAGCAAACAGGAUUAGAUACCCUGGUAGUCCACGCCCUAAACGAUGUCAACUAGUUGUUGGGGCCUUCGGGCCUUGGUAGCAGCUAACGCGUGAAGUUGACCGCCUGGGGAGUACGGUCGAAAGAUUAAAACUCAAAGGAAUUGACGGGACCCUGCACAAGCGGUGGAUGAUGUGGAUUUAUUAAUCUGAUGCAAACGCGAAAACCUUACCUACCCUUGACAUGUCUGGAAUCCCGAAGAGAUUUGGGAGUGCUCGCAAGAGAACCGGAACAAGCUGCAUGGCUGCUUCGCCGGCUCGUGUCGUGAGAUGUUGGGUUAAGUCCUGCAACGAGCGCAACCCCUGGUCAUUAGUUGCCACGUGCUGUAAGCACUCUAAUGAGACUGCCGGUGACAAACCGAGGAAGGUGGGGAUGACGUCGGGUCCUCAUGGCCCUUAUGGGUAGGGCUUCACACGUCAUACAAUGGUGCCGGGACAGAGGGUUUCGCCCGCGAGGGGGAGCCAAUCCCAGAAACCCGGAUCAGUCCGAUCGCAGUCUGCAACUCGACUGCGUGAAGUCGGAAUCGCUGGCAACGGAUCAGGCAUGUCGCGCGAAUACGUUCCCGGGUCUUGUACACACCGCCCACACCAUGGAGUGGGUUUACCGGUAGCGUAGCAGCCCAACCGGGCGGAGGGCGAUUACCACGGUAGGAUUCAUGACUGGGGUGAAGUCGUAACAAGGUAA